AGAUUGAACGCUGGCGGCAGGCCUAACGCAUGCAAGUCGAGCGGCAGCACGGGUACUUGUACCUGGUGGCGAGCGGCGGACGGGUGAGUAAUGCCUAGGAAUCUGCCUAGUGGUGGGGGAUAACGUUCGGAAACGGACGCUAAUACCGCAUACGUCCUACGGGAGAAAGCGGGGGACCUUCGGGCCUCGCGCCAUUAGAUGAGCCUAGGUCGGAUUAGCUAGUUGGUGAGGUAAUGGCUCACCAAGGCGACGAUCCGUAACUGGUCUGAGAGGAUGAUCAGUCACACUGGAACUGAGACACGGUCCAGACUCCUACGGAGCAGCAGUGGGAAUAGUUGGAACAAGUGGGGACGAAAAGCCGUGGACU
RNAcentral lists this ribosomal RNA (367 nucleotides) under uncultured soil bacterium. Its description in RNAcentral is "bacterial SSU rRNA". It matches the Rfam family "Bacterial small subunit ribosomal RNA", at positions 26 to 383 of the family's 1533-position model. The record is from RNAcentral.